This 21-nucleotide small nuclear RNA is filed under the name Arabidopsis thaliana (thale cress). RNAcentral's name for it is "snRNA_07112". Lineage: Eukaryota; Viridiplantae; Streptophyta; Magnoliopsida; Brassicales; Brassicaceae. The record is from RNAcentral.
UCCGUCCAAGGCUAAAUACGG